AUAUUGCACAAUGGGCGAAAGCCUGAUGCAGCAACGCCGCGUGCGGGAUGACGGCCUUCGGUUUGUAAACCUCUUUUAGUAGGGAAGANGCGUAAGUGACGGUACCUGCAGAAAAAGCACCGGCUAACAACGUGCCAGCAGCCGCGGUAAUACGUAGGGUGCAAGCGUUGUCCGGAAUUACUGGGCGUAAAGAGCUCGUAGGCGGUUUGUCGCGGCUGAUGUGAAAUCCCGAGGCUCAACCUCGGGCUUGCAGUGGGUACGGGCAGACUAGAGUGCGGUAGGGGAGAUUGGAAUUCCUGGUGUAGCGGUGGAGUGCGCAGAUAUCAGGAGGAACACCGAUGGCGAAGGCAGAUCUCUGGGCCGUAACUGACGCUGAGGAGCGAAAGCGUGGGGAGCGAACAG
This 402-nucleotide ribosomal RNA is filed under the name uncultured bacterium. RNAcentral describes it as "bacterial SSU rRNA". It matches the Rfam family "Bacterial small subunit ribosomal RNA", at positions 361 to 775 of the family's 1533-position model. The record is from RNAcentral.